AGAGUUUGAUCCUGGCUCAGAUUGAACGCUGGCGGCAGGCCUAACACAUGCAAGUCGAACGGUAGCACAGAGAGCUUGCUCUCGGGUGACGAGUGGCGGACGGGUGAGUAAUGUCUGGGAAACUGCCUGAUGGAGGGGGAUAACUACUGGAAACGGUAGCUAAUACCGCAUAACGUCGCAAGACCAAAGAGGGGGACCUUCGGGCCUCUUGCCAUCAGAUGUGCCCAGAUGGGAUUAGCUAGUAGGUGGGGUAACGGCUCACCUAGGCGACGAUCCCUAGCUGGUCUGAGAGGAUGACCAGCCACACUGGAACUGAGACACGGUCCAGACUCCUACGGGAGGCAGCAGUGGGGAAUAUUGCACAAUGGGCGCAAGCCUGAUGCAGCCAUGCCGCGUGUAUGAAGAAGGCCUUCGGGUUGUAAAGUACUUUCAGCGGGGAGGAAGGUGUUGUGGUUAAUAACCGCAGCAAUUGACGUUACCCGCAGAAGAAGCACCGGCUAACUCCGUGCCAGCAGCCGCGGUAAUACGGAGGGUGCAAGCGUUAAUCGGAAUUACUGGGCGUAAAGCGCACGCAGGCGGUCUGUCAAGUCGGAUGUGAAAUCCCCGGGCUCAACCUGGGAACUGCAUUCGAAACUGGCAGGCUAGAGUCUUGUAGAGGGGGGUAGAAUUCCAGGUGUAGCGGUGAAAUGCGUAGAGAUCUGGAGGAAUACCGGUGGCGAAGGCGGCCCCCUGGACAAAGACUGACGCUCAGGUGCGAAAGCGUGGGGAGCAAACAGGAUUAGAUACCCUGGUAGUCCACGCCGUAUACGAUUUCGACUUGGAGGUUGUGCCCUUGAGGCGUGGCUUCCGGAGCUACGCGUUAAGUCGACCGCCUGGGGAUACGCCGCAAGGUUAAACUCAAAUGAAUUGACGGGGGCCCGCACAAGCGGUGGAGCAUGUGUUUAAUUCGAUGCAACUCGAAGACCCUUACCCUACUCUUGAUCAUCCAGAGAACUUUCACGAGAUGGAUUGGUGCCUUCGGGAACUCUGAGACAGGUGCUGCAUGGCUGUCGUCAGCUCGUGUUGUGAAAUGUUGGGUUAAGUCCCGCAACGAGCGCAACCCUUAUCCUUUGUUGCCAGCGGUCCGGCCGGGAACUCAAAGGAGACUGCCAGUGAUAAACUGGAGGAAGGUGGGGAUGACGUCAAGUCAUCAUGGCCCUUACGAGUAGGGCUACACACGUGCUACAAUGGCGCAUACAAAGAGAAGCGAACUCGCGAGAGCAAGCGGACCUCAUAAAGUGCGUCGUAGUCCGGAUUGGAGUCUGCAACUCGACUCCAUGAAGUCGGAAUCGCUAGUAAUCGUAGAUCAGAAUGCUACGGUGAAUACGUUCCCGGGCCUUGUACACACCGCCCGUCACACCAUGGGAGUGGGUUGCAAAAGAAGUAGGUAGCUUAACCUUCGGGAGGGCGCUUACCACUUUGUGAUUCAUGACUGGGGUGAAGUCGUAACAAGGUAGCCGUA
This 1501-nucleotide ribosomal RNA is filed under the name uncultured Enterobacter sp. RNAcentral's name for it is "bacterial SSU rRNA". It matches the Rfam family "Bacterial small subunit ribosomal RNA". The record is from RNAcentral. Lineage: Bacteria; Pseudomonadati; Pseudomonadota; Gammaproteobacteria; Enterobacterales; Enterobacteriaceae.